UACGUAGGUGGCAAGCGUUGUCCGGAUUUAUUGGGUUUAAAGGGUGCGUAGGCGGCUUUGUAAGUCAGCGGUGAAAUACUCUAGCUUAACUAGAGGGGUGCCAUUGAUACUGCGGAGCUUGAGUACAGAUGAGGUAGGCGGAAUUGACGGUGUAGCGGUGAAAAUGCAUAGAUAUCGUCAAGAACACCGAUAGCGAAGGCAGCUUACUGGGCUGUAACUGACGCUGAUGCACGAAAGUGUGGGGAUCAAACAGG
This 254-nucleotide ribosomal RNA is filed under the name uncultured bacterium. Its description in RNAcentral is "partial 16S ribosomal RNA". It matches the Rfam family "Bacterial small subunit ribosomal RNA", at positions 524 to 776 of the family's 1533-position model. The record is from RNAcentral.